AUUGAACGCUGGCGGCAGGCCUAACACAUGCAAGCCGAGCGGAUGAAGGGAGCUUGCUCCUGGAUUCAGCGGCGGACGGGUGAGUAAUGCCUAGGAAUCUGCCUGGUAGUGGGGGAUAACGUCCGGAAACGGGCGCUAAUACCGCAUACGUCCUGAGGGAGAAAGUGGGGGAUCUUCGGACCUCACGCUAUCAGAUGAGCCUAGGUCGGAUUAGCUAGUUGGUGGGGUAAAGGCCUACCAAGGCGACGAUCCGUAACUGGUCUGAGAGGAUGAUCAGUCACACUGGAACUGAGACACGGUCCAGACUCCUACGGGAGGCAGCAGUGGGGAAUAUUGGACAAUGGGCGAAAGCCUGGUCCAGCCAUGCCGCGUGUGUGAAGAAGGUCUUCGGAUUGUAAAGCACUUUAAGUUGGGAGGAAGGGCAGUAAGUUAAUACCUUGCUGUUUUGACGUUACCAACAGAAUAAGCACCGGCUAACUUCGUG
RNAcentral lists this ribosomal RNA (484 nucleotides) under uncultured bacterium. Its description in RNAcentral is "partial 16S ribosomal RNA". It matches the Rfam family "Bacterial small subunit ribosomal RNA", at positions 30 to 507 of the family's 1533-position model. The record is from RNAcentral.